GAUGAACGCUGGCGGCGUGCUUAACACAUGCAAGUCGAACGGAAAGGCCCAAGCUUGCUUGGGUACUCGAGUGGCGAACGGGUGAGUAACACGUGGGUGAUCUGCCCUGCACUUCGGGAUAAGCCUGGGAAACUGGGUCUAAUACUGGAUAGGACCACUUCUUGGAUGUUGUGGUGGAAAGUUUUUUCGGUGUGGGAUGAGCUCGCGGCCUAUCAGCUUGUUGGUGGGGUAAUGGCCUACCAAGGCGUCGACGGGUAGCCGGCCUGAGAGGGUGUACGGCCACAUUGGGACUGAGAUACGGCCCAGACUCCUACGGGGGGCAGCAGUGGGGAAUAUUGCACAAUGGGCGCAAGCCUGAUGCAGCGACGCCGCGUGGGGGAUGACGGCCUUCGGGUUGUAAACUCCUUUCGCUAGGGACGAAGCGUUUUGUGACGGUACCUGGAGAAGAAGCACCGGCUAACUACGUG
This 467-nucleotide ribosomal RNA is filed under the name uncultured bacterium. RNAcentral's name for it is "partial 16S ribosomal RNA". It matches the Rfam family "Bacterial small subunit ribosomal RNA", at positions 28 to 507 of the family's 1533-position model. The record is from RNAcentral.